CUGUGAGGGGUGCUGGAGGUAUCAGAAGUGCGAAUGCUGACAUAAGUAACGAUAAAGCGGGUGAAAAGCCCGCUCGCCGGAAGACCAAGGGUUCCUGUCCAACGUUAAUCGGGGCAGGGUGAGUCGACCCCUAAGGCGAGGCCGAAAGGCGUAGUCGAUGGGAAACGGGUUAAUAUUCCCGUACUUGGUGUUACUGCGAAGGGGGGACGGAGAAGGCUAUGUUGGCCGGGCGACGGUAGUCCCGGUUUAAGCGUGUAGGCUGGUUUUCCAGGCAAAUCCGGAAAAUCAAGGCUGAGGCGUGAUGACGAGGCACCACGGUGCUGAAGCAACAAAUGCCCUGCUUCCAGGAAAAGCCUCUAAGCAUCAGGUAACAUCAAAUCGUACCCCAAACCGACACAGGUGGUCAGGUAGAGAAUACCAAGGCGCUUGAGAGAACUCGGGUGAAGGAACUAGGCAAAAUGGUGCCGUAACUUCGGGAGAAGGCACGCUGACACGUAGGUGAAGUGAUUUACUCAUGGAGCUGAAGUCAGUCGAAGAUACCAGCUGGCUGCAACUGUUUAUUAAAAACACAGCACUGUGCAAACACGAAAGUGGACGUAUACGGUGUGACGCCUGCCCGGUGCCGGAAGGUUAAUUGAUGGGGUCAGCGCAAGCGAAGCUCCUGAUCGAAGCCCCGGUAAACGGCGGCCGUAACUAUAACGGUCCUAAGGUAGCGAAAUUCCUUGUCGGGUAAGUUCCGACCUGCACGAAUGGCGUAAUGAUGGCCAGGCUGUCUCCACCCGAGACUCAGUGAAAUUGAACUCGCUGUGAAGAUGCAGUGUACCCGCGGCAAGACGGAAAGACCCCGUGAACCUUUACUAUAGCUUGACACUGAACAUUGAGCCUUGAUGUGUAGGAUAGGUGGGAGGCUUUGAAGCGUGGACGCCAGUCUGCGUGGAGCCGACCUUGAAAUACCACCCUUUAAUGUUUGAUGUUCUAACGUGGACCCGUAAUCCGGGUUGCGGACAGUGUCUGGUGGGUAGUUUGACUGGGGCGGUCUCCUCCUAAAGAGUAACGGAGGAGCACGAAGGUUGGCUAAUCCUGGUCGGACAUCAGGAGGUUAGUGCAAUGGCAUAAGCCAGCUUGACUGCGAGCGUGACGGCGCGAGCAGGUGCGAAAGCAGGUCAUAGUGAUCCGGUGGUUCUGAAUGGAAGGGCCAUCGCUCAACGGAUAAAAGGUACUCCGGGGAUAACAGGCUGAUACCGCCCAAGAGUUCAUAUCGACGGCGGUGUUUGGCACCUCGAUGUCGGCUCAUCACAUCCUGGGGCUGAAGUAGGUCCCAAGGGUAUGGCUGUUCGCCAUUUAAAGUGGUACGCGAGCUGGGUUUAGAACGUCGUGAGACAGUUCGGUCCCUAUCUGCCGUGGGCGCUGGAAGACUGAGGGGGGCUGCUCCUAGUACGAGAGGACCGGAGUGGACGCAUCACUGGUGUUCGGGUUGUCAUGCCAAUGGCACUGCCCGGUAGCUAAAUGCGGAAAAGAUAAGUGCUGAAAGCAUCUAAGCACGAAACUUGCCCCGAGAUGAGUCUUCCCUGAGACUUUGAGUCUCCUGAAGGAACGUUAAAGACGAUGACGUUGAUAGGCCGGGUGUGUAAGCGCAGCGAUGCGUUGAGCUAACCGGUACUAAUGAACCGUGAG
RNAcentral lists this ribosomal RNA (1674 nucleotides) under Salmonella enterica. RNAcentral describes it as "partial 23S ribosomal RNA". It matches the Rfam family "Bacterial large subunit ribosomal RNA", at positions 1261 to 2915 of the family's 2925-position model. The record is from RNAcentral. Lineage: Bacteria; Pseudomonadati; Pseudomonadota; Gammaproteobacteria; Enterobacterales; Enterobacteriaceae.